Helicoverpa zea (corn earworm) is the source of this 913-nucleotide long non-coding RNA. RefSeq lists it as uncharacterized. The transcript is spliced from 2 exons. The record is from RefSeq and is a predicted model, not a curated record. Lineage: Eukaryota; Metazoa; Arthropoda; Insecta; Lepidoptera; Noctuidae.
AUUCUCCUAAUUUUACUUAAAAACAUUCGAUUUACGUUCGAUUGCGAUCCAAUCCCGACUCGAUUACGAUUGAAACCGCUCGUGAACGCUGAUGGUAUUGAAGAGUAAAACUGAAUGCCUACAAUCGGAUGAGAUUAUAACUGCGAAAGACUUGUGGAGCCAAUAAUGACGACGACCAGACAAGAUUCUUGUGUGUAGAUUACUGCUUGAUACACACUACGCCUGAUGGCGAUUAGACACCUCCACCGUGAUGAAACAUUUUACCAGGUACCCGAGACAUUGGACAAUCAGAUGGCUGGAAAGCAGGUGGCAAGUGAGAGUGCUUGGCCUCUGCAUCAGUAAAGAGAGGCAGGUGGCAAGUGAGAGUGCUUGGCCUCUGCAACAGUAAAGAGAGGCAGGUGGCAAGUGAGAGUGCUUGGCCUCUGCAUCAGUAAAGAGAGGCAGGUGGCAAGUGAGAGUGCUUGGCCUCUGCAACAGUAAAGAGAGGCAGGUGGCAAGUGAGAGUGCUUGGCCUCUGCAUCAGUAAAGAGAGGCAGGUGGCAAGUGAGAGUGCUUGGCCUCUGCAACAGUAAAGAGAAGCAGGUGGCAAGUGAGAGUGCUUGGCCUCUGCAUCAGUAAAGAGAGGCAGGUGGCAAGUGAGAGUGCUUGGCCUCUGCAUCAGUAAAGAGAAGCAGGUGGCAAGUGAGAGUGCUUGGCCUGUAAGCUUACAAUGUAGUAAAUGAUGUCAUUGCUUGAAGUUGUACAGUGACUGGCAAGUGAGAGUGCUUGGCCAGUGAAGCUAUGAAAAGAUAUGGUAACAAAUGUAGAAUAUAAAAAUAUUAAUAUCAGAUCUGUUUGAAAACUUGAUUACCCAGUAUACAUAUCUUUUCUUUGAAUUGUAUAAAUUAUUUUGCUAGUAAAAAUUGCACUAAAA